UACGUAGGGGGCAAGCGUUGUCCGGAUUUACUGGGCGUAAAGAGCGUGUAGGCGGCCACGCAGGUCCGUUGUGAAAACUGGAGGCUCAACCUUCAGUCGUCGACGGAAACCGUGUGGCUAGAGUCCGGAAGAGGAGAGUGGAAUUCCUGGUGUAGCGGUGAAAUGCGCAGAUAUCAGGAAGAACACCGGUGGCGAAGGCGGGUAGCUGGGCCGAUACUGACGCUGAGGAGCGAAAGCGUGGGGAGCGAACAGG
Molecule: ribosomal RNA, 253 nt
Filed under: uncultured bacterium
Lineage: Bacteria
Description: partial 16S ribosomal RNA
Rfam family: Bacterial small subunit ribosomal RNA
Source: RNAcentral